This 425-nucleotide ribosomal RNA is filed under the name uncultured bacterium. RNAcentral's name for it is "partial 16S ribosomal RNA". It matches the Rfam family "Bacterial small subunit ribosomal RNA", at positions 354 to 796 of the family's 1533-position model. The record is from RNAcentral.
GUGGGGAAUCUUGCGCAAUGGGCGAAAGCCUGACGCAGCCAUGCCGCGUGAAUGAUGAAGGUCUUAGGAUUGUAAAAUUCUUUCACCGGGGACGAUAAUGACGGUACCCGGAGAAGAAGCUCCGGCUAACUUCGUGCCAGCAGCCGCGGUAAUACGAAGGGGGCUAGCGUUGCUCGGAAUUACUGGGCGUAAAGGGCGCGUAGGCGGACAGCUUAGUCAGAGGUGAAAGCCCAGGGCUCAACCUUGGAAUUGCCUUUGAUACUGGCUGUCUGGAGUUUGGGAGAGGUGAGUGGAACUCCGAGUGUAGAGGUGAAAGUCGUAGAUAUUCGGAAGAACACCAGUGGCGAAGGCGACUCACUGGCCCGUUACUGACGCUGAGGCGCGAAAGCGUGGGGAGCAAACAGGAUUAGAAACCCUUGUAGUCC